CCAAUAGCGUAUAUUAAAGUUGUUGCAGUUAAAAAGCUCGUAGUUGAACCUUAGGCCCGUGCGGGCGGUCCGUCCUCUGGGCGAGCACUGCUCCGUCGCGGGUCUCACCUUCUGGCGAGCGUGGAUGCCAUUUAUUUGGUGUCCGCGGGAACCAGGACCUUUACCUUGAAAAAAUUAGAGUGCUCAAAGCGGGCUCCGACGCUUGAAUACAUUAGCAUGGAAUAAUGAAAUAGGACGAUGGUUCUAUUUUGUUGGUUUCCGGGACCGUCGUAAUGAUUAAUAGGGAUAGUUGGGGGCAUUCGUAUUCAAUUGUCAGAGGUGAAAUUCUUGGAUUUAUUGAAGACGAACUACUGCGAAAGCAUUUGCCAAGGAUGUUUUCAUUAAUCAAGAACGAAAGUUGGGGGAUCGAAGACGAUCAGAUACCGUCAUAGUCUCAACCAUAAACUAUGCCGACUGGGAAUCGGGCGAUGUUACUUUUCUGACUCGCUCGGCGCCCCGAG
Molecule: ribosomal RNA, 500 nt
Filed under: uncultured Glomeromycotina
Lineage: Eukaryota; Fungi; Glomeromycota
Description: partial small subunit ribosomal RNA
Rfam family: Eukaryotic small subunit ribosomal RNA
Source: RNAcentral